Molecule: ribosomal RNA, 468 nt
Filed under: uncultured bacterium
Lineage: Bacteria
Description: partial 16S ribosomal RNA
Rfam family: Bacterial small subunit ribosomal RNA
Source: RNAcentral
GACGAACGCUGGCGGCGUGCUUAACACAUGCAAGUCGAACGGAAAGGCCCUGCUUUUGCGGGUUGCUCGAUUGGCGAACGGGUGAGUAACACGUGAGUAACCUGCCCCUGACUUUGGGAUAACUUCAGGAAACUGGGGCUAAUACCGGAUAGGAGCUCCUGCUGCAUGGUGGGGGUUGGAAAGUUUCGGCGGUUGGGGAUGGUCUCGCGGCUUAUUAGCUUGUUUGUGGGGUAGUGGCGUACCAAGGCUUUGACGGGUAGCCGGCCUGAGAGGGUGAACGGGCACAUUGGGACUGAGGUACGGACCAGAAUCCUACGGGCGGCAGCAGUGGGGAGUAUUGCACAAUGGGCGGAAGCCUGAUGCAGCAACGCCGCGUGCGGGAUGACGGCCUUCGGGUUGUAAACCGCUUUCGCCUGUGACGAAGCGUGAGUGACGGUACUGGGUAAAGAAGCACCGGCUAACUACGUG